This 254-nucleotide ribosomal RNA is filed under the name uncultured bacterium. RNAcentral describes it as "partial 16S ribosomal RNA". It matches the Rfam family "Bacterial small subunit ribosomal RNA", at positions 524 to 776 of the family's 1533-position model. The record is from RNAcentral.
UACGGGGGGAGCAAGCGUUGUUCGGAUUUACUGGGCGUAAAGGGCGCGUAGGCGGCCACCGCAAGUCGACUGUGAAAUCUCCGGGCUUAACUCGGAAAGGUCAGCCGAUACUGCGGGGCUAGAGUGCAGAAGGGGCAACUGGAAUUCUCGGUGUAGCGGUGAAAUGCGUAGAUAUCGAGAGGAACACCGGUGGCGAAGGCGGGUCUCUGGGCCGAUACUGACGCUGAGGAGCGAAAGCGUGGGGAGCGAACAGG